This 111-nucleotide ribosomal RNA is filed under the name uncultured bacterium. RNAcentral describes it as "partial 16S ribosomal RNA". It matches the Rfam family "Bacterial small subunit ribosomal RNA", at positions 1381 to 1500 of the family's 1533-position model. The record is from RNAcentral.
UUGUACACACCGCCCGUCAAGCCAUGGGAGCCGGGGGUACCUGAAGUGCGUGACCGCAAGGAGCGCCCUAAGGUAAAACCGGUGACUGGGGCUAAGUCGUAACAAGGUACC